AGAGUUUGAUCCUGGCUCAGGAUGAACGCUGGCGGCGUGCCUAACACAUGCAAGUCGAGCGGCAGCGCGGUCUUCGGACUGGCGGCGAGCGGCGGACGGCUGAGUAACGCGUAGGAACGUACCCCAAAGUGAGGGAUAAGCACCAGAAAUGGUGUCUAAUACCGCAUGUGCUCUUCGGAGUAAAGCUUUAUGCGCUUUGGGAACGGCCUGCGUCCGAUUAGCUAGUUGGUGAGGUAAUAGCUCACCAAGGCGACGAUCGGUAGCUGGUCUGAGAGGAUGAUCAGCCAGACUGGGACUGAGAACGGCCCAGACUCCUACGGGAGGCAGCAGUGGGGAAUUUUCCACAAUGGACGAAAGUCUGAUGGAGCAACGCCGCGUGCAGGAUGAAGGCCUUCGGGUUGUAAACUGCUUUUAUUUGUGACGAAUAUGACGGUAGCAAAUGAAUAAGGAUCGGCUAACUCCGUGCCAGCAGCCGCGGUAAUAC
This 484-nucleotide ribosomal RNA is filed under the name uncultured bacterium. Its description in RNAcentral is "bacterial SSU rRNA". It matches the Rfam family "Bacterial small subunit ribosomal RNA", at positions 8 to 526 of the family's 1533-position model. The record is from RNAcentral.